AUGUCUCCUGCCGACUCCCUCGCCGCCGGCCGGACCCGCCGCGCUGGAUCUCUCGCUCCCCUGCCCAAGCGCGUGUGCGUCUUCUUCGUGGACGCCGACGCCACCGAGUCCGAGUCCUCGGGGGACGAAGAGGUCAGGCGCGGCAAGCGGCGCGUGCGGAAGGUCAUCGACAUCAGCGUGAAGGCCUCCUCUCAGCCAUCUCCGGCGUCGUCCAUCCCACGGAGACGGGCUCUGCUGCUGCGGCGGCGGGCGGCGAAGGCCGGCGACGGCGGCUACCGCCGGCGGUUCCGUGGCGUGCGGCAGCGGCCGUGGGGCAAGUACGCCGCGGAGAUCCGUGACCCGAGCCUGCAGAAGCGGCUGUGGCUCGGCACCUUCGACACCGCCGAGGAGGCUGCCGCCGUGUACGACGACGCGGCCGUGCGCCUCAAGGGAUCCCACGCCGUCACCAACUUCUCGUCCAGCUCCAGCUCCGACUCCGACUACGUCGCGUCCAACAAGCCCCGCUCCCCGCCGCCGGCGAAGCUCCGUCCUACCGGGGAAGCGGCAGCAGAGGCCACCGCGACCGUUCCCCCAUCCGCGCCGUCGCCGCCCCCGGAGCCCGAGCCCGAGGACGACGACGCCGACUCGUUCAACCCGUUCGCCUCGUCCCUGACCCCCGUCCUCCGUAGCGCGCCCGGCGAGGCGCCCCGCCCAGUGGACCACCUGUACGGCGAGCUCUGCGACCUGGCCUCGACCGCUCCGCCAUCCAAGGCGGUGGAGUUCGACUGGCAGCAGCCGUGGUGGGAGAGCGAGCCGAAGGCAACGGAGUUCGACUGGCAGCUGCCGUGGUGGGAGAGCGAGGACUUCGUGAUGCCGCCGGCGGCGAGCGCCGUCAGCGUGAUAUGA
RNAcentral lists this ribosomal RNA (885 nucleotides) under Triticum aestivum (bread wheat). Its description in RNAcentral is "partial small subunit ribosomal RNA". Lineage: Eukaryota; Viridiplantae; Streptophyta; Magnoliopsida; Poales; Poaceae. The record is from RNAcentral.